UAGUCAUACGCUUGUCUCAAAGAUUAAGCCAUGCAUGUCUAAGUAUAAGCAUUAUACAGUGAAACUGCGAAUGGCUCAUUAUAUCAGUUAUAGUUUAUUUGAUAGUCCCUACUACUUGGAUAACCGUAGUAAUUCUAGAGCUAAUACAUGCAUAAAAUCCCGACUCACGAAGGGAUGUAUUUAUUAGAUACAACCAACCCCUUUUGGGUUUAUGGUGAAUCAUAAUAACUGAACGAACCGUAUGCGCGAGCGACGGUGGUUCAUUCAAGUUUCUGCC
RNAcentral lists this ribosomal RNA (277 nucleotides) under uncultured eukaryote. RNAcentral's name for it is "partial 18S ribosomal RNA". It matches the Rfam family "Eukaryotic small subunit ribosomal RNA", at positions 21 to 311 of the family's 1831-position model. The record is from RNAcentral.